UAAACGGUGGGCGCUAGUUGUGGGACCUUCCACGGUUUCUGCGACGCAGCUAACGCAUUAAGCGCCCCGCCUGGGGAGUACGAUCGCAAGAUUAAAACUCAAAGGAAUUGACGGGGCCCCGCACAAGCAGCGGAGCAUGCGGCUUAAUUCGACGCAACGCGAAGAACCUUACCAAGGCUUGACAUAUACAGGAAUAUGGCAGAGAUGUCAUAGCGGUAAAACGUCUGUAUACAGGUGGUGCAUGGUUGUCGUCAGCUCGUGUCGUGAGAUGUUGGGUUAAGUCCCGCAACGAGCGCAACCCUCGUUCUGUGUUGCCAGCAUUUAGUUGGGGACUCACAGGAGACUGCCGGGGUUAACUCGGAGGAAGGUGGGGAUGACGUCAAAUCAUCAUGCCCCUUAUGUCUUGGGCUGCACGCAUGCUACAAUGGCUGGUACAAAGGGUUGCCAACCCGCGAGGGGGAGCUAAUCCCACAAAGCCAGUCGUAGUCCGGAUCGUAGUCUGCAACUCGACUACGUGAAGUCGGAAUCGCUAGUAAUCGUGGAUCAGAAUGUCACGGUGAUACGUUCCCGG
This 571-nucleotide ribosomal RNA is filed under the name uncultured bacterium. RNAcentral describes it as "bacterial SSU rRNA". It matches the Rfam family "Bacterial small subunit ribosomal RNA", at positions 803 to 1377 of the family's 1533-position model. The record is from RNAcentral.